GACGAACCGUGCGAGCGUUAUUCGGAAUCACUGGGCUUAAAGCGCGUGUAGGCGGGCCGGUGCGUCGGUCGCUGAAAGCCCCCGGCUCAACCGGGGAAGCGGCACCGAGACGACCGGCCUGGAGGGGGGUAGGGGGACCUGGAACUUCCGGUGGAGCGGUGAAAUGCGUUGAGAUCGGAAGGAACGCCCGUGGCGAAAGCGAGGUCCUGGACCCUUUCUGACGCUGAGACGCGAAAGCCAGGGGAGCGAACGGG
Molecule: ribosomal RNA, 254 nt
Filed under: uncultured bacterium
Lineage: Bacteria
Description: partial 16S ribosomal RNA
Rfam family: Bacterial small subunit ribosomal RNA
Source: RNAcentral